Molecule: long non-coding RNA, 1825 nt
Organism: Stegostoma tigrinum
Lineage: Eukaryota; Metazoa; Chordata; Chondrichthyes; Orectolobiformes; Stegostomatidae
Exons: 11
Source: RefSeq, a predicted model, not a curated record
CUACCGACUAACCUCAUCCCACCUCCUUGACCUGUCCGUCUCCCCUGGACUGACCUAUCCCCUCCCCACCUAUACUCUCUCCACCUAUCUUCUUUACUCUCCAUCUUCGUUCCGCCUCCCCAUCCCUGUUUAUUCCAGUUCCCUCUCCCCACCCCCCUCUCUGAUGAAGGUUCUUGGCCCGCAACGUCAGCUUUUGUGCUCCUCAGAUGCUGCUUGGCCUGCUGUGCUCAUCCAGCCUCACAUUUUAUUAUGUUGGGAGAGAGAGCUGUUUUGGUUUGUGAUACAAGAGACGAGGCUGUCUCUGCCUUUCACCCAUCGGUAGUUCUCCUCCUGUCCCUGCCUCUAUGCACACACACUGCCAGGCAUAGUCUUCCUCCCUCUCUGUGUGUGUGUGUCUCUCUCUCUCUCGCUUCAGCUCCUAAAACGUAAGAUGCAUCGGAUAUAAAAACACGCACAUAAACACACACACACACACAUACAUCAACAAGCCAUGGGGAAAGAUCAGGAAUUACUGCAAGCUGUCAAAACCGAAGAUGUAGCUGCAGUGCAGAAGCUGUUGCAAAGGCCGAAACAACGCAAAGCGAAUAUGAAGAGACUCUUUUAAAAUAUCCUCUCGGUUAGUGGUUCAGGCAUGAAAGUGCAAUAUGUACAUUUAUGUAUAUACAUGUACAUGCGUAAUCUGAAAAGAAAAUGACGAGAAAUCACUUGUUGCAAGGGUGGAGUUAGUGGAACCGAAAAAGAUGUCUCCCUCACAGCGUUCGUGACAAAAGAAUUGCAUCGUUCCUUGGCGGCCUUUCAACAGAAGAAUAUUCAGAGAUUUCCCGAGUGGACACAAUCAUCGCCUUGGAAGCUUCAUCACGAUACUACUUUGCAUUUCUGAAGAGGGAAGAAGAAAUCAAUAUGCAAAUUCAAUUCCAUGGUUUUGGAAGUCCCAUGUGAGAACACGAUUCAUUUGCGCCGGCAUAAUGCUCUGACCGAGAAAGAAUUGAAGUUUCCACUUGGAAGAAAGAUUCACAUCAAAUUGACUGGUCAAGGAAAUGGGACACUGACUAACCUUACGAUGAGACUGUUUUGAUGAGGAAUUUAAAGAUUAUGUGUCCCAUCCAUUUGACGCACAGUUUGGUACCAUAGGUUGGUACGAUCUUCGUUCAUGAAGGAAAAGGGAUGUUCCAGAUACAGAAAAUCGUCAAACCAUUUAUGACAAAGUCCGUUUCUGGGUGGAGUUAGUGGAACCGACAAAGAUGUCUCCCUCACAGCGUUUGUGACAAAAGAAUUGCAUCGUUCCUUGGCGGCCUUUCAACAGAAGAACAUUCAGAGAUUUCACGAGCGGACACAAUCAUUGCCUUGGAAGCUUCAUCACGAUACAACAUUGCAUUUCUGAAGAGGGAAGAAGAAAUCAACAUGCAAAUUCAAUUCCGUGUUUUUGGAAGUCCCAUUGAGAACACGAUUCAUGUGCGCCGGCAUAAUGCUCUGACCGAGAAAGAAUUGAAGUUUCCACUUGGAAGAAAGAUUCACAUCAAAUUGACUGGUCAAGGAAAUGGGACACUGACUAACCAUAGGAUGAGACUGUUUUGAUGAGGAAUUUAAAGAUUAUGUGUCCCAUCCGUUUGACUCACAGUUUGGUACCAUAGGUUGGUACGAUCUUCGUUCGAGAAGGAAAAGGGAUGUUCCAGAUACAGAAAAUCGUCAAACCAUUUACAACAAAGUCCGUUUCUGGGUGGAGUUAGUGGAACCGAAAAAGAUGUCUCCCUCACAGCGUUUGUGACAAAAGAAUUGCAUCGUUCCUUGGCGGCCUUUCAACAGAAGAAUAUUCAGAGAUUUCCGG